This is a long non-coding RNA of Lagopus leucura (white-tailed ptarmigan), 318 nucleotides long. RefSeq lists it as uncharacterized. The transcript has 3 exons. NCBI's taxonomy places the organism in Eukaryota, Metazoa, Chordata, Aves, Galliformes, Phasianidae. The record is from RefSeq and is a predicted model, not a curated record.
GAGCGACAUCUGUUCUGGAUGGAGGUUGCACUCCUUUUGAGCUGUUGUUGGAAGGGGCACUUUAGGAAACAGCAAUGAAUGAGCCUUGGCUUACGCUGAGAAGAGCUGCUGAGCAUCUUUACUGAUUGUAUGGUGAACCACACUGCUUCCUAACUAUGGCAGUAUGAUUGCAGAGAGAAUUCAGUGCUGGUGGAAGUGACUGGAUUCACAGCUGUGGAAAUGGAGAUGGAGACACCCUGUCUCAUGCAGCAACUGUCUGAAGGACGGCUGCAGGACCAUGCGCUGCCCUUCAUCUGCUCCCAGUCAAGGCCAGGAAAC